Silurus meridionalis is the source of this 596-nucleotide non-coding RNA. The record is from the annotation of a RefSeq genome assembly. Lineage: Eukaryota; Metazoa; Chordata; Actinopteri; Siluriformes; Siluridae.
UGUUCCCGCUAGGGUGAGCCCUUUAGAUUCGAGUGGCAUAUCAGUGUUACACCACAGAAGAAAAGAAAAAGAGGAUGGAGUACUUGUGUUGCCUCUUAAUGCAGAGUAGACUCACAUACACACAGCACAAAAGUCCAACAUGAUCAAUGCUUUCAUCAUAUUUUCUGUCACACUACUGUGUCUUCCAGGUUCUGGGGUUUGUUCUGUAUUUCAGACUCCUCCUGAUCUCAUCAAAAAUCUAAAUGAGAUUGUUGAGAUCAAAUGUGCACACAAUGUAUCGAGCUAUGAUCGCAUUCUGUGGUACAAACACAGCCAGGACACAGGAUUUACAUUCAUGGGAUACAUUUAUGCUACUUCUUUAAAGCCUGAGGCAGAAUUUACAACCAAAAUCAAACUGAGUGGUGAUGGGAGCAAAAACGGUUCUUUGACCAUAAACAGUGUUUCAGUAAACGACAGUGCUGUGUAUUACUGUGCAGCUUAUUACACAGUGCUGUAGAUCAGCUCACUUCACUACAAAAACCUUCAUCUGAUCAGCAUGACCUCCCCACCAGAACACCUGGAGCUGUGGUGGGAUUUGAUUUAUUGCCAAUAAACCA